AAAUUGAAGAGUUUGAUCAUGGCUCAGAUUGAACGCUGGCGGCAGGCCUAACACAUGCAAGUCGAACGGUAGCACAGAGAGCUUGCUCUCGGGUGACGAGUGGCGGACGGGUGAGUAAUGUCUGGGAAACUGCCUGAUGGAGGGGGAUAACUACUGGAAACGGUGGCUAAUACCGCAUAACGUCGCAAGACCAAAGAGGGGGACCUUCGGGCCUCUUGCCAUCAGAUGUGCCCAGAUGGGAUUAGCUUGUUGGUGAGGUAACGGCUCACCAAGGCGACGAUCCCUAGCUGGUCUGAGAGGAUGACCAGCCACACUGGAACUGAGACACGGUCCAGACUCCUACGGGAGGCAGCAGUGGGGAAUAUUGCACAAUGGGCGCAAGCCUGAUGCAGCCAUGCCGCGUGUAUGAAGAAGGCCUUCGGGUUGUAAAGUACUUUCAGCGGGGAGGAAGGUGUUGUGGUUAAUAACCGCAGCAAUUGACGUUACCCGCAGAAGAAGCACCGGCUAACUCCGUGCCAGCAGCCGCGGUAAUACGGAGGGUGCAAGCGUUAAUCGGAAUUACUGGGCGUAAAGCGCA
Molecule: ribosomal RNA, 577 nt
Filed under: Salmonella enterica
Lineage: Bacteria; Pseudomonadati; Pseudomonadota; Gammaproteobacteria; Enterobacterales; Enterobacteriaceae
Description: bacterial SSU rRNA
Rfam family: Bacterial small subunit ribosomal RNA
Source: RNAcentral